GGGCUUAUGUCUGCUGUUCUGAUUGGGUGAUUUCUAUCAUUCUAUCUUCCAGAUUACUUAUUCAUUCUUCUGGAUUAUUUAUUCUGUUCUUCAUGGAAUUUAGCUCAGCUUCCAUUUCUGCAAAAGAAUUUUAUAAUUUUUCUUGGCUCCUCUUUAUACUUUCUAGGAUUUUUUUUACAGUAAUCUGCAUUUCUGUCAAUAGAAUUUCUUAUUUCCUUCAAUAUAUCCAUUAUCUCUUUUUUAAAUUUGGUAUCUAUUAGACUACAGAGGCCUGUUUCAUUAGUUUUUUCCUUCAGGGGAAUUCUUUUGGUCAUUUGGGAGUGGUUCUUCUGUUUUUACAUUUUACUUAUAUUUACUUUGCUCUAUGAUUUUAGGAGAAACAAUUUUCUAGUGCAGUCUUUGAUGACUAUUUUUUAUAUAGAAAUGUUCCUGUGUAGCCUGCAAGUGUUUAAUAUUUUUUGUUGUGAGAAUUAUUUUUAGUAUGGAUGCCUCCCACCACUCUCCACAGUGUAUGCUGUCCAUUUUACCCUUGAUAGGAUGAUGUAACUGCCAUUGUGAUGAUAUAUGUUAAGCAGGGCCCCUGCUUUUCUCUGAAGUUGUCACUGUCCUAUUAGGAGCAGGGUUUGCUCCUUAGUUGUUGAAGUACAAGACCUAGAUACAUUUCUGAGCUGUGAACUGUGGUGUGGUAGAUAGGGUUGAAGCAUUCCCAUUAGAAGAGAAGCCACUGUUAUUCCUCCAUUGGAGCUGUUCACUUGUGAGUAUGCUUUAUUAGUGUCACCUUUCACCCGUUGUUGCAGAUUCACAGAGUACAUUCUUAAUGGCAUUGCUCUCAGCACCACCUCAACCAUGGAAAUUAUGGCAACUGGCCCUGGAAUCUCUCAGAUAUUUUCACAGGUCCAUCAGUGAAGAUAUACUGAAGUCAGGUGCAAGGACUUCAGUAUUCAUGCACCAGGAACUGUCUAAGGGAGUUAUGAAGGUGGUUCACACCCUGGUCCAAUCCAGCCCUCAUGUGCACAUGCCCACAAAUCCACAGCUACUAAGGGCAGAUCCUGGUGUGGGAGCAUGUAUUGUUCAUUCAGAUGUUCCACAGAUGCUGAAUUUACAAAUCUGGUGCCAGAGGUGCAAAUCCACAGCUUGCACGGCCUCAUGGAGAGAUUUCAGCCCUGUUUCCUAAUUUUCAAAUUCCCCAUGUCUGCAGUUCCACUUCUGUAUAUGGGGAACCCACUUGUGUCUGCUCCUGGGGCCUGCCAAGGCUGCAGUUAGCACAUGAGCCUGCCCAGGCAGAAGCAUAUCCUAGAGCCCACAGAGGCAGAGGCCAGGAGAAAGAGGAUAAAAUAGUGGCCCUGCUCUUCCUUCAGGCACCACUUAAUGGUUAUUCAUUUCUAAGGCAGAGUUCUUCUAUAAAUAUUCCUGAUUGUGGCUGUACACACUCCCCCCACUUCAGGCUGUCUCCAUGCAGCCAACGCCAUUCUUCUUCCAGGGUAUGUCCUCUAAACACCAAGUUCCAGCACAAAACCCCUGCCUGUACAAGUCGACAUGUACCUCAGUCUGGGGUAUAAGUGCAGUGACAUGGGCUGUCUGUGUAGGUCUCUCUGUCCUGCCUGCCACAAACUAUUUGAUGUGUUUUCUUAUGAGGCUUUGAAGCUCCUUUUCUGUCUUGGUGGAUCUCUCUACCAGUGAGGGUCCUUCCUAAUGUGUGGGAACCUCUCUUUUUCUUCAUCCAUCUCCCAGAGGCACAGAUAUUGUUCUGCUUCCUCUUUUUUCCCUCCUUUCAUCCUAUCAUGUUACAUGGAGAUCUGUCUUAUCUGUUUAAAUGUUUGAGAUCUCCUUAUAGUUGUUUAUUAGGUGUUCUGUGAGAAUUAUUCCAUUUGUAGAAGUAUUUUCAAUCUAUUUGUGGAAGGAGAUAAGUUCCAGUCCUACUACUCUGCCACCUUGAUUGGAGCCCCUCAAAUAUUCUUUAGGAAUUGCAUGGUGUUAUAGGAUACUUAUAUCCAAUCUUCAUUCUCACUUUUCUGCACUUAGAGUCUGACAUCUCAGGAGUUCUCACUGUGGCUCAUCAAAAACAAAUCUGACUAGUAUCCAUAAGGAUAUGGGUUCAAUCCCUGGUCUCACUCAGUGGGUCAGGGCACCAACAUUGCUGUGGGCUAUGGUGUAGGUUACAGACACAGCUCAGAUCCUGAGUUACUGUGGCUAGGGCAUAGGCCAGCAGCUGUGGCUCUGAUUCUACCCAUAUCCUGGGAACUUCCAUAUGUCAUGGAUGUGGCCCUAAAAACAAACAAACAAACAAAAAAGAUCUGACAUCUCUGCCAGGCUUGCGUAACUUCCUCAUUUUUCUCUCACAGGCAUUUUGUAUAAAAUUCUUAACAUCAUUGCAUCUCUACAUGUCUAAUCCCUACAUCUCUAGGCUCUUUGCAAUCUUAUUUCCAUUUGCCAUGUUAUUAAAAUAUUCUAAGUCUUUAGGUAUUAGGACAGGGAUGUUUUUCCUUGCCAUUAUUCUUCCUAUGACAUUAUAUAGCUACGGAAACAAAUUAACUCCAAUGAUGUAAUCUCAUAGGAAUGACCCCUAGUUAUAUUAAAUGGAAAUUGUUAUCCUCAAAAUAUUAUAUAUAACAUGAUAUAUAUAAAGUUGAAAAGUUUAAAAAUGUCUUUUAUUAAAAAACAAUGCAGUAUUAUUGAAAUGGGGGUUUGAUACUGUAGAAGUAUUGCCAAAGGAAGUGGAUGGGGAAUAAGAAGUGAGAUGAGGGAGGUGAAAUUUUGGAACAUCUGCAGUGAUGUCAAGUAUAGCUUACUUUGUCUUACUCCAUCACAUAAUUUUUAAGAGUAUGAAUUUUUAAAACUGAUGAUUCCUUGUGACAUGUUAUGAUUUUGUAUGUCUCAUGGAAAAUUUAAAUCAAUAUUGCCACACAUAUGCAGCUAUAUGUACAUGAAAAAAUAUUUUAAAAAUGAAAAAUAGGUACAGUGGGUUAAGAAUCCAACUGCAGUGGGUUAAGAAUCUGACUGCAGUGGCUCCAGUUGCUGUGGAAGUGCAGGUUUGAUCCCUGGCCCAGUACAGUGGGUUAAAUUAUCCAGCAUUGCUCUAAUUGCAGCAUCAGUCACAGAUACAGCUCAGAUUUAAUCCCUGGCCCAGGAACUUCCUUAUGCAGUGGGAUACUGGUGACCUAUUACCUUAGAGGAUUUAAGCAGAUCUGCUGAAAGAAUAUACAAAGGUGAGAUGACAAUUGUGGAUCCAUUUAAAUAAAAGUGGGUAUGUUAUUUUCUUCUAGAUUAAUUUCAGAUGCUCUCUUAAAUCUUAUUGUUGGAGAAAGCUUUCUACCUAAGCUUUUAUCAACAUGCACACAUAAGAUCACACAGUGUGUUGCACAUGCUCACCUGUUCCUAUCUAAAUAAAAUAUUAGUUAAUAUUUAGAAUUUGCUAUAGGUUUGUGUUUAGUAUUGCUUUUUGUUCCGAAUGUCUGAACUUGAGAUUCAACCACUUUAACAUCCAUACAGGAGGAGGAGUUCUUACCAAAAAAUUCAUUUGAGUCUGAUUAUAACAAUCAAAUUCAAUUGGCUACCCCAUAGUUCUGAAUUUUUUUAUCUUAACUUGAAGAUUAAUGUUUAUUGAUAGUCUGGGGUUUAAAGGGACAAAAAUUCUGGUAAUUAGAAUAUAGAAAGUAAAUCAAUUUUCUUAUCUGGGGAAACACAAUCAAUGAUGCAUUACUUUAAAACCAAGAUUGAAAGGGUACUAGCUAUAGAACCAUUUUUACCACCAGAUGGUGUUUGUCUGUUUUUGUGUAUUAUUUGUUAUCAAUAAUUACACUCAGGAUUCUGUAUGCACAGAGGCAGUGAUUUUUAAAUUAAACAUUUUAGAAUUAUUAUAGAAUAUUUUAUAGAUUCAGCUAAACAUAAAAUUCUGGCUGAUUAUGAUAAAACACAAUGAUAUUAAAUUACAUAUUGAUCUUAUAAAUAUCAAUACAUACAGAAAAUCAAUGAAAAGAAUGCUCAUAACUAGAAGGAACAUUUUAAUGUUAGAAGAUAAUGGGGACAGAUUUUAAUGGAACAUUAUGCAGAGGUUUGGAUUUUUCCACUUGGCUUUCAUCACAUGGGAAAUAUGUUUUAUUUUUCUUUCCAAAUAUUAAACAUUAAUUACAGACUAUGUUUAAUUUUCUGAAGUACAUGGCCAGAAAAAGUAUAUUCAAAUACCCUGAAAACAAAAAUAAAGAAAAAAAUUGUUUUCUCAGUAUUUUCCAAGAAAUCUAAACAUAGUAAUAUAACUUAAAAUUUGGUUCUACUUCUUUGAAUUUUUCAAAUGAGAAUCUGUAAAUAUUAUUUUGAAAAGGAUAUAUAUUGGAUAUUUCAAAAAAGUGUGUAGUUCAGAUUGGAUACUACCAUGCUAUGUAAGCUUGUACCAAACACUUAACUAGACUAUUUCUGCCUUCAUCAAGAUUAUAAAGAAGAGGGUACUAAGAUUUUUAAAUUAUUUUACAGUUCUAAAACUAUAUAAUUCUAUUAUCUUGUUAAAAUUCAUGGGUAUUUGAGAAGAAGAUUCAUAAGUGUAAAUGGGAAAUGAGAUUGCUCAUAGAAGCUGGAAGAUACACUUGGUGAUUCAUUUAUUUCCAGACAUUUUGUCUUCAGAUCCACUGACUGAUGUAAUUUAUAUAUUUUGCAUCAUCAUCCUCAAAACCAAUAGAUGAUAUAAGAUAUAUAAAGAAAUAUCUCUCAAUUAUGAAUCAUGUGUUCAACCGAGCUUGAGAAAAAAAUAAAUAAUGAAAAUAUUUUUUAUUAGAAGAGAAAGGGCCCUGUUCUUUAUAAAAAUAGAUAAAUGAAAUAUUUCUUAUUUUUAAGUUUAAUGCUGUGAAAACUAUUGUUCCCUCAUGCUACUAAUUUGAAAUUCUCAGGAAAUUAUAGUUGUAUGAGACGCAUAAAGAAUAGAUAGUCUUUUCUUAGAGCCUCAGAUAACUUCACUGAGAUUUUGUCUUCAAGGAGUUUUGAAAACUUUGUAGUAGUUUAAAUGUCAUAACUGACACAUUGUGUUUUCUUCUCCAACAUUUUCGUUUGCUACUGGGGUGCCUGUGCUGGGUUAGAGAGGAGACCAAAAAAAAAAUAAAAAAA
Molecule: long non-coding RNA, 5091 nt
Filed under: Sus scrofa (pig)
Lineage: Eukaryota; Metazoa; Chordata; Mammalia; Artiodactyla; Suidae
Description: lncRNA (ENSSSCG00015019646.1)
Source: RNAcentral